This 6990-nucleotide long non-coding RNA is filed under the name Homo sapiens (human). RNAcentral's name for it is "non-protein coding lnc-LIN28B-10:8". The record is from RNAcentral. Lineage: Eukaryota; Metazoa; Chordata; Mammalia; Primates; Hominidae.
GAGAGCUAAGAACUCUACAUUAUGUUCUGUCUCGUUUCUUUUUUUAUAGCUCAUCAUAACCUAUGCCUAUUUUUCCCUUUGAAUCUUUCAUAGAUUCCAGUCAUAGGCCAGAUUCAAGACUCAACCCCAAUUAUUGGGUAUAAGAGACACAAUAGGUAUUCAAUAAACAUCGGUUGAAUUGAAUUAAAUGGGAUUGAAAUUGGCCCCACUAAGACAUAGAUCUCUUAGGGGUUGUUUGGCUGCAAAAACCAGAAAUCUAGAUGACUAGCUAAAGCUAAACAAGAAAAUUUACUGUAAGGAUACAUGGAUUUCUUUAUGAGAAAAUGCAAAAGGAAGUGGAAACUUACCAGGAAUGAAAGAGAAUGCUGUUUAUAAUUGUAAGUGCUCUCAUUUCUGAAGAAUCGUUCUAUUCUUCUCCCUCUCUCUCUCUUUCUCUCUCCCCUUUAAACUUUCUUGACUUAGUGUGCAUGAGAGAAAAUGGCAUUCCAAACCCCACAUAAACUCCUCUUUCAAAUGCUUAGUAUUUGUCAGCUAUAGCCAUUCUGUUCUCAACACAUGGGUACUGGCUUUCUUUCAAGCUUUGACAGACAUCAUUGUCAAGCAGAAUUUUUUCCACUGAGCUUGGAUACUGCUUCACAUUCUUUUUAAUUCAGAGCUCCAGACAGCCAUGACUAGUUGUUGAAAUGGCCAUCUCUGUUCUAAUUCCUCUGUCAAUGGGUAGUCCUUUAAAUAUUUUAAGAUAGCUCUGGGGUCUUCUGUGAAUAUAUAAUUCUAAGGCUAAUAUCUCUAAUUUCUUGAGUUCUAUAACAUGGUUUUGAACCUACAUUUAAGUUGCAACAAAACCUCAUUUAACUCAUAGAAAUUCAGUAAUAUUUGUGUUGCACCAAACAACAACAACAACAGUGAGGGAAGAAUCCCCUAUUCCUUUCCUCCCAUUUACACUUGUAGGAGAGGAAAAACCUUUCUCUAAUCUCCUAGAUUCUGUAGCUGAGCCUGUGAAUCAAGCAGACAAAAGACAUAUUAACAGGAGAAAAGCAUACAAAUUUUAUUUGAUGUAAAUAUUUUUAUGUGGCAUGAGGGGCUUCAUAGGAAAGAAGCGAAAACCCCAAACAAGCAGUUAGACUCAGGGGUUAUAUACCAUUUUAACAAAGGGCAAAAAAUUUGUGGAGAAAUGAUAGGACAAAGGAAGGGUGUCCAAAAAGGUCCUAGGGGCAGUAAUUUGUGGGAAAGUGACUAGAAAAUAUAUGAGAGAAACUAAUGGAAGAUAAGGGUUAUUUCAGUAAGGUUUGUUUGUGCAGACUUAUCUCUGCACCAUCUCCUCCCCAAGUCCUGUCUCUGAUAAGAGUGUUCUCUUCUUCUUGGUAUCAGAAGGGCAACUUUCUCAUGGGAAAUAUGCCCUUCUUUUAAGCAGAAAGGGAAAGGGCAUAGAUCCUUUCUUGCAGCUGCUGUUUCUCAAUUGUUUUCAUCUCAAAAUAGUAUGCAAAAGUGGCGUAGUUUGAAGUGGCAUUUUUCUCGUCCCUUUCACAAUCACCUUUCCCACUGGAUUCAUGAACUAGAGAAAGGGUGAUCCAGGGAAAGGGAACUCAUAGAAAACAUACACAGGAAAACAAAAGGAGUUAAUUUAUGCCUUUUGACCUUAUGACCCAGGUCCUCGGUCAUAAAAUUGAUUUAAGAAAUGUUCAAAGAGGCCGGCGUGGUGGCUCACACCUGCAAUCCCAGCUCUUUGGGAGACUGAGGCAGGUAGAUCACUUGAGGCGAAGAGUUCAAGACAAGUCUGGCCAACAUGGUGAAAACCUAUCUCUAUUAAACACACAAAAAAUUAGCCAGGUGUGGUGGUGUGCGCCUGUAGUUCCAGCUGCUUGGGAGGCUGAGGCACGAGAAUCACUUGAACCUGGGAGGUGAAGGUUGCAGUGAGCCGAGGUCGCACCAGUACACUCCAGCCUGGGCAACACAGCAAGACACUGUCUCAAAAAAAAAUGUUCAAAGAUAAAGUUGACUAUACAUAAUUUUAGUGUGAUGACUUUAGAAUUUGUGGCCCACUUAAAAUGAGAUGCUGCUCUGUUUUCUUCUGAAGAUGGUCCUACUUGCCCUCUCUCACUUAGAGAAUAAUCUCUAUGGGUGGAAGCAGGACUCCCCAUGUGGUCUCAGCAGCAGAAGGUGGUUUCGUUACCAUCUUACUAGCUCUAGUGCUAUAGUUCCACAUAUACUGCUCAUCAGCAGUAUAGGGAUUACUGAAAGCCCAAAGUCCUGCAUUUUCUUACACUUAUUCCAAUAAAACCAGGAAAUAAUGCACCCACUCAUAACAUGAACUCAAAUAUGAUUCAGCCAACUCCCAUUUAACCCCGUUCUCAUUAACAUUGCAUUAACUUACCCACUGCAGUAUUAUACGGUGAUUUAUUUAUUUAUUUUUUACUAUAAUUUACAAGAUAACUCAAGCAAAAGUGCAUUAAAGAGGGACCAGUACCAAGAAGGUACUCAGUAAAAUCAGCAACCUCCACAGGUGUUUUAUUGUGCACAGGUAUAGGCUUUUGCUUGAAGAAUCACUUACUUUUCCCUUGUUGGUUCUGGUUCAUAGUUCAAGCCUGUCAUAACCUUUUUUGGCCCAGGUUCCAUCAUCCAAUGUAUUUGCUAUGCCUCCAAGGUUUGCAUGCCAGUUGGCUUUUUGAAGGCAAUUUCUUUUAUUUUUAUGCAUCCAAAUCUGGGUGAGAGAGGGGAAGGUAAGGCAUACCUGGAGAAAACCCUAUACUGGGAGAUAAAAACUUCUCUCACUGUAUAACACAGAGUACUUAAAAACAUUCUAAAAUGUUAUUUAAUGAUUUUUUAAAAAUCACAUGUAGCAAGCUGAAACAAUAGAACACAAUCCCCAUAACUGGUCUUCAGUAACAUAGUGAAGAUUUUGUAUUUCAGCUAAUUCUCAACUAGCAAAAGAGAAAUAAGUGAACAGGAGAAUUAAUAUUUUGUUGUUUUUCAUCCACUUUCUCUCCAGUUUAGGGAGCAUUGAGGUCAAGGAUCUGCCUCACUAUCCUUCCACCUUUGGCUCUGCUUGCAGUGGCUCUGGUUCUAUCCAUGCUUUUACUAAGCCUGCAAAUUCUGUAAAGCAGGAAACUACAAAAACGUUACAAAAGGCUCUGUCAAAAGAUUCUUCAAGUGAUUAAGGAUAGCACACUCUGCAUAGGAAAUGAAGCCCUCGGAGAGAUUUGAAGAAGCCCUUGGAGAGAUUUGAGAUAUCCCUAACGGAGAAAGAAUUGACCUUCAUUAUCUCAGGAAGGCUUUUGACAUAAAAGAGAAAGAGAAGAAACUGAUUACUUAAAGAGGAGAGAGAGCUGUAAAGAGAACUACGAGGAUGAGCAUCAGGCUUAAAGUGGCUUAAUUUAUAAACGGAUAAUUUAAAAAUAGAAUUGGAACAUUAAGCCUUAAUAUGACCUAUACUCCUCGCAAUCCAGAAGUGAAGGGAGAAAUGUGGACAUGAGAGGGGCACAGAGGAAGACUACCUGAAGACACACAGAGAGAAGGUGACCACGUGGUUGGAGUGGAGCAUCUACAAACCAACACACAUACCAAGGAUUGCUGGCAAGUAUCACCAGAAGCUAGAAGAGGCAAGAAAGGAUUCUCCCCAAAGCUGUCAGCAAAAACACAGCACUGAUGGUACCUUGAUUUCAGACUUUUAGCCCCGAAACUGUGAGAGAGUAAAUUUCUGUUGUUUUAGGUGACCUGUUUUUUGGAAUUUGUUAUGUCAACUGUAGGAAAUGGAUAUUGUACAACGAUUGGGGCAUGACUUUGCAAUGGUUUACCUGCUCUCAGAUGAAAAUUUUUUUUUUUUGUUUUUUUUUUAGAUGGAGUCUUGCUCUGUUGCCCAGGCCAGAGUGUAGUGGUGCCAUCUUGGCUCACUGCAACCUCUACCUCCCGGGUUCAAGCGAUUCUCCUGCCUCAGCCUCCCGAGUAGCUGGGACCACAGCACACCACCAGGCCUGGUGAAUUUUUGUAUUUUUAGUAGAGAAAGGGUUUCACCAUGUUGGCCAGGCUGGUCUCAAACUCCUGACCUCAAGUGAUCUGCUCGCCUCAGCUUCCCAAAGUGCUGGGAUUACAGGUGUGGGCCACCACACCCUGUCUCAGAUGAAAGGUUAAUAUAAUUAAGGAACAUCUUUUUUGUUUUUUUUUUCAGAAAUUGGAAUGGGGGAGUAGCUGAACAGAAAAGUCCAUCUUGUUCAAUUCCCACAAGAACAUUUCUUUGCAAUAUUAUUGGCAGGAAUAUGCAGUAAAGUUCUAAUAACUAUUUACUCCUUUCUUUGAAACUCUAUUCAGUUAUAAUGUGUCCUGUAAAAAGUAUGACACUGAUUUCAUAGUACCAAUUUUAGCCUAAUACAUAUUUAAAUGAUUCCCAAUGUAUAAAGAUAUUUUAGUAAUAAGAAAUUAUUUAAGGAUCCCAAACAUCACAAUAAACAUAAAGCCUAGUUUUAGGUUGCAAAAAAGUAUCAAACUUUAUAAGUUUUAGUGCAAAUUAAGAGAAAUUACAUUCUAACUACACUAAUAACUGAAAACUUCAUAUUAGGCAAAUAAUGUCUUCAACUACUCAAAUUAUAGGAGCCCACUUCAAGAACCUCAGUAAGAAGAAAUUUUGAAUGGUUUAAAAAUAAUAAAUGCCAUGACAUUUUAAAUGGAAAUUUGGCAUAUUUUUGAGAUAAAUAUGAUUGGAUACAUGUGUGUGCCAUUCUUUUAUCUCUUCUUACUUUUACUGUAUCUCUACUUUAAUGAUGACAAUAAUAUGGCUACAGACAUGAAAUGGUUUAUCUUUCUUCUUUUCUUUCACUCUUUCAUUUAAAGCAUUUAUAUUAUUUUUUAUUGAUGUCAAUGUUAACAUUUUGGCAUCCUUCCCAAGUAUAUUGCAAGAAAUACAUCAAUAAAAACUUAAAUUUAAAAAAUAUGUAGUCUGGGGCCAGAUAAUAAUGGCAUAUUUCUUUAAAAUUAGGUAUAAAGGAGUACAGACGAGGUCAAAAUUCUAAAAUUGGAAUCUUGCCAUUAACAAACAGAACUGACAUUCUGAUACUUCUAUCUGCUGUGGACGUGACACAGAGACUUACCAAAGCCAAGAUACAUUUAUUCAAGGAGGAGCAACUUGCCUUUAUACUUAUACCUUUGUUAAUAACUUGUUUAAAGCAAUCCUUUGUUUUCUUUGCAUAUUUGAAUUGAUUUGCUAAAAGUUAUCUACUGUUAAAUAAGCAAAACUCAAAAUUUUCAAGCAUAUGGGACUUGUUCAGAAUCAGUUUUUAGUUUCUUUUUCAGGAUUUUGUACAAGUUGCAAGAGAAGAGACACAAAAUUAUCUUAUUAAUUCUAUUGCAAUAUGGAGAUACAUUUUAAACAAAUGGAAAUAAUCAAUAUUAGUAUUAUCUGUAUAUUUGUGUGUGUGUGUGUUGAUCUGACUAUAUUUUUCUUCAAAGGGAAAUCACAAAGGCCAAGUGUGUUUAUCAGGUAACUCACCUUAAGAAAACUUGUACUAUGUGAAAAGUCAAUUUCUUUAAAAACUGUCACCAACUCAACCCUGGUUUGUAAGUAGAAAAAACUAUCAAUUAUUUUUUAACAAUAGUAAUACUCCCAAGGUAUAUACUUCUGCCACAAAAAAUUAAGAAUAGUUUACUUAGCACGUUUUGUCAUUGUGGAAAUCAUUGAGAAAAAUCACAGUGGAAAGUUAUUUGAAAAGGCAUAACUGUCAUUAGAAAGAAAUUAAGAAUAAAGAAGGCAGGCCUGGCGUGGUGGCUCAUGCCUGUAAUCCCAGCACUUUGGGAGGCUGAGGUGGGUGGAUCUCCUGAGGUCGGGAGUUCAAGACCAGCCUGACUAACAUGGAGAAACCCCAUCUCUACUAAAAAUACAAAAUUAGCCGGGGUGGUGGCACAUGCCUGUAAUCCCAGCUACUCGGGAGGCUGAGGCAGGAGAAUUGCUUGAACCCAGGAGAUGGAGGUUGCGGUGAGCUGAGAUGGUGCCAUUGCACUCCAGCCUGGGCAAAAAGAGUGAAACUCCACCUAAAAAAAAAAUAAAAAUAAUAAAAAAAUAAAGCAGUAAAAACAAAAUGUUUGCAUGUGUCAUUAUCUUUGUAUUGGUCGUCUAUUUUGUAAACUUUCAUCAUUACUUUAAGCAUUUCAGGCCACUUCUUCAGUCAUUAUUGUUGAUUAUCAUUUAGUCCUCCAAUUCCAUCAGAGUGUGCUAAGGUAGUAAAAUGAAAUUAGGCACAAUGCAUGGCAGAAGGUAUAGCAAUUUGAAAUGUCUUCCAAAAUCAAUUAGAUAUUACUUUGGGUUAGCAGUGGAGGUGGGAACAUAGUUACAGGUAAUUGAGAAUUGGCUGUGAAUAUGGGCUCAUACAUUGUGUUUUUGAACAUGUUGAUAUAAUUCUGUGAAAUGAGAGAAAUGGCCUCAAAUCACCUGGCUGCUUCUGCUUUAUUUUAUGGUUAGAUAUUCAACUGCCAUCACAGACUACAAUAGAGGAAAGCUGCUAUUAUUUAUCAAAGACUAGACCUGCUAGCUGAAGUGCAGUUCACCAUUCACUUGGGUGGUGGUAUGGCUCACCUCCAAAACACUGCUCAUGAGUUGACCUUAUUAUUUUUAUCUGCAUGUCUUGACCUAUAGCGGGCUUAAAAUGUCAUUAUCAACCUAAUGGAAAUACAGAUUUUUCAUUUUUUUCCCUUUCUCUGCCUUCUCUUUUUUCUUUUCUUUUCUUUUUUUUUUUUGGUAUGCAUAUGUAUCAUAAUACUCUUUGGGUUAAUCAGGUCCCAUAGUGGACCUCGACAAUACCUGAGGGGAUCCUAAGUCAUCAGAAUAUAGGGGGUGUGAGUGGUCUCCCUUUAUUUCUGGAAUGCUUGCUUUCUUCGGAAAUCAUGAAGACAUCUUUAUUUGAAGCCUUGUUCAUCCUUUAAAUUGACUCGCAGAUUUGCUAUUAUCUAGAGCGUCUUGAAAGGUGUUGUGCGUAUCUGACAAAUGGCCUCAUUAUUCAUUAACUUUCA